GGGGCUAUAGCUCAGCUGGGAGCGCCUGCCUUGCACGCAGGGGUCAGCGGUUCGAUCCCGCUUAGCUCCACCA
Molecule: transfer RNA, 73 nt
Filed under: Serratia marcescens
Lineage: Bacteria; Pseudomonadati; Pseudomonadota; Gammaproteobacteria; Enterobacterales; Yersiniaceae
Description: tRNA-Ala
Rfam family: tRNA
About the family: Transfer RNA (tRNA) molecules are approximately 80 nucleotides in length. Their secondary structure includes four short double-helical elements and three loops (D, anti-codon, and T loops). Further hydrogen bonds mediate the characteristic L-shaped molecular structure. tRNAs have two regions of fundamental functional importance: the anti-codon, which is responsible for specific mRNA codon recognition, and the 3' end, to which the tRNAs corresponding amino acid is attached (by aminoacyl-tRNA synthetases). tRNAs cope with the degeneracy of the genetic code in two manners: having more than one tRNA (with a specific anti-codon) for a particular amino acid; and 'wobble' base-pairing, i.e. permitting non-standard base-pairing at the 3rd anti-codon position.
Source: RNAcentral